This 413-nucleotide ribosomal RNA is filed under the name uncultured bacterium. RNAcentral's name for it is "bacterial SSU rRNA". It matches the Rfam family "Bacterial small subunit ribosomal RNA", at positions 918 to 1333 of the family's 1533-position model. The record is from RNAcentral.
GGCCCGCACAAGCAGCGGAGCGUGUUGCUUAAUUCGAUGAUACGCGAGGAACCUUACCAGGGCUUAAAUGCAGAGCGAAUAGUUUGGAAACAGGCUAGCCUUCGGGCGAUCUGCAAGGUGCUGCAUGGCUGUCGUCAGCUCGUGCCGUGAGGUGUUGGGUUAAGUCCCGCAACGAGCGCAACCCCCUAUCUUUAGUUGCCAGCGAGUAAUGUCGGGGACUCUAAAGAAACUGCCUACGCAAGUAGAGAGGAAGGCGGGGACGACGUCAAGUCAUCACGGCCCUUACGUCCUGGGCCACACACGUGCUACAAUGGUCGGUACAGAGGGCAGCUACCGGGUGACCGGAUGCGAAUCUCUAAAGCCGAUCUCAGUUCGGAUUGGAGUCUGCAACUCGACUCUAUGAAGCUGGAAUC